RNA transcript from Dermacentor albipictus, 2168 nucleotides. It is a transcript of the gene named gastrula zinc finger protein XlCGF49.1-like, with no coding region annotated. Lineage: Eukaryota; Metazoa; Arthropoda; Arachnida; Ixodida; Ixodidae. The record is from RefSeq and is a predicted model, not a curated record.
UAGUUUAGUCGUUCACUAUACGUCCCAAAGGUGUCACGAUAGUCGCGGAUCGCGCGAACAUUUGUAUCACGGGCAUUGCUUGUCUACGUGCGCGUUCGGGAGGCUGAGUGGUUUAUGUGCGGUUCUGUGUGUGCUUACUGCUUUCUAGAGAGCCGUCGUUUCUUUCACGAACGCACUGCUAAUGUAACAAUGCCUUGCUUUUAGUCGCAACCGUGCAAGAAGCGCCAGUCCCUCGGUAACCAGUAGCUGAGAACGCAGCGUCAACGGGUCGAGUCCUCGCUGCCGGCCAGGACUGGGGUCUGCUGGUGUGGACUGCAGGACCAUGCCAUGCUCACAUUGCUGCUCAAUGUGGGGCCCCAGCUGCUUUCCAGGACGGAUCAUCCUCAUUGCGAAGCCAGGUGGCGCCCGUUCCAGAGCCAGUAGCGUCUCCUGCCCAGGCCUUGUGUGUGACCAGCUAGUGUGAGCUACACCUCUGGCAUUUGCUGAGAAGCACUUCUGCCUGCUCCUCCUCUGUCACCAUCACCGGCCCUGGCGUGGAACAUGGGGGCGGUGUUGUCUCCUGCAUGCUGCAGCAGCACCUGGUGGCACCUGGAGAAGGGCAACAUCGUCAUGAUGGCGUUCACACUACCUCCGGGAAUGGCUGCAUUCCUCCACAGUACAGGGUGCAGAUUUCCACGCACUCAGCUCGGAAGUACAUGGUGACCCGAAUCCGGUGUUCUGGAUCAAAGCAUUCAUCCUCUCCAACAACUACCAAGAAUGACAAGUUGCAGCAGAGACGCCUCCACCGCUGCGACUUCUGUGCCUACGAAACCAGAAGAGAGUUUAAUUUGAAAACACACAUCAGGGUCCACACAGGCAAGAAGCCAUUUCAGUGCCCUUCAUGCUUUCUGAGGUUCUCGCAAAAGGGCACUUUCACAAGACAUCAGCGCAUUCAUGCAGGCGAGAAGCCAUUUCAGUGCCCUUUAUGCCCUCUGAGCUUUUCGCAAAAGGGCACUCUCGCAAGACAUCAGCUCACCCACACAGGUGAGCGACCAUACCAGUGCACCAUCUGCUCCAAGUCCUAUGGGAGGGCCGAUUACUUGAAGGUACACAUGAAAGCACAGCACCAUGGCAGCCCCAAGCUGCAAAGCAUCGAAGAUGGCUAGCGGCAAUCUCCUCUUGGAACUCCACCAUGUGAAACAACAUCAAAAGCCUCCAUACCUUGUGGCAUUCGGUGAAAUUCCAGUUAGAAUAUCCCCGUGCCGAACUAUGAACACCAGCCGUGGUGUUGUCUCCGAUGAUGACCUGAUGGAGCUAACAGAAGCUGAACUAUUAGAAGGCUGGAGCGAGCAAAAUGUGAUCAAUGGAUCAAGGCAUCCAUCCUCACCAACUACCGAAGACGAACCGCAGAGACACCUUCACUGCUGCUGUGACUUCACUGCUGUGACUUCUGCUGUGACUUCUGCUAUGCCUUCACUGCUGUGACUUCUGCUACAUUGAAACUAGAAAACUAUUCUGGCUGAAAAUAUAUGUCGGGGUCCAAAAAGGCGUGAAGCCAUUUCAGUGCCCUUCAUUCCCUCAUAGCUUUUCGCAAAAGGGCACUGUUAACACACCUACAUGUUCACGCGGGUGAGCGGCCGUUUCAGUGUCAUUUGUGCCCUCGGAGAUUUUCACAAAGGCUCGGACUGAAUAAUCACUUGUGAAGCCACUCAGGCAAGCAACCAUAUCAGUGCCGCUAGUGCCCUCGAACUUUUGUGAAAAGCAGCAACCUCGAGAGACACUUUUAGACCCGCACAGGCGAGCGACCACACCGCUGCACCAUCUGUUCAAAGCCCUUUGUGAUGGCCAAUCACUUGAGGAAAGAUAUGGAAAUACAGCACGAUGAUGCUGACGAGUAGGCAGCAGCCACGCUGGUGUACUUUUGGGGAUAAAUGUAGUCUGAAUAUGGAAUCUACCUAAAACAUGCACAGUGGGCUGUGUGGUGUUCUUGUAUAUUAGGGAAAGUGCAACUUUUGCUAUAUUGGUAUUUGUUGAACUGCCAAGUAACUUUUGUUUCAGUGUACUCUAGCAAGUUGCAAGGAAAUUUUUGCAGUGACAGUAUGAUUCCUUUGUAAUAUGAAUCGUACUGUGCAAAGUUUCAUAAGAUAUUCAGUGUACAGCAUUUGUCAAAAUAAAUGAACUAAGUGCAA